This is a long non-coding RNA of Saccostrea echinata, 772 nucleotides long. RefSeq lists it as uncharacterized. Lineage: Eukaryota; Metazoa; Mollusca; Bivalvia; Ostreida; Ostreidae. The transcript is spliced from 8 exons. The record is from RefSeq and is a predicted model, not a curated record.
CCGAGGCGGAUGGAAACAACGUUUGCUCAUAAACAGGUCUGGUUAGAGCCAAGAAGAAGAGAAAAUAGGAUUCUCCUUCAUUUCCCUCUGCAAUUUGCCGAUGGCAAUCUGAACCCGAGCUAGUGAAGUUUCAUAGCUUCCUCUAAAGUCUUUAUCAUGGGGAUUGCCUUUAUGCAGAGAGAAACUUUAAACUUCAUGCAGUCAUACUCAAGAUUCAAUAAUGGGAUGAUUUAGUAACUGUAGGUGACAGAUUUGGUAUUGCAAGAUUUGGAUUGUUGGCAACAUCCAUGUUCUCCUCAUCUUGUCUGACUUCAGCUGAUUCACUUCUUGUGCAGCUUCUGCGUGCUGAUAUGUUCCUUCCUAGUUUCCAACUUCAUCAAGGACCAAUGAUAUACCUGACUUCCAUUGUCAAAAGCCAUUGUACCAGGAGAUGAAUUGUGUCCUCUGCUACUCUUGUUCUGAACUACAAGAACCUGCUGUCAUCAAAAAUAGUCAGAAGACCGAAAGUGGUGAAUUUCCGGACCUUCCUGUCUUGUUUGGGGUUCAUCAAGGCCAUCAAAGAAUUCAACGCCUUCAUCUGUUCUUGUCCACCAAACAUCUUCUCCAACCAGCAUAAAGUCUGCUAUCCUUUCCAAGUGGGCCUGAAAUAGCAGUGGAUUCUUCUCUCACCUUGAAAUUGCCCCACAGGAUGUUUUCCCUGCCUAUGAUAGUGCAGCAGCAAAUAUAUCUACAUUGUACACGUAUGAAAAUUUAACUUAAAAUUAAAAAAAAA